CCCAAAGCGGGUGGUAAACUCCACCUAAGGCUAAAUACAGGCACGAGUCCGAUAGCGGACAAGUACCGUGAGGGAAAGUUGAAAAGCACUUUGAAGAGAGAGUUCAAGAGUACGUGAAACCGCAUAGAGGCAAACGGGUGGAUCCGCAGAGUCGACCCGGGGAAUUCAGCCCAGCAGCCGCGAGGCGGCCGGCAGCCGCUCGAUCCGUCGAGGACGGCGGCUCUGGCCAGCCCUCCGGCGGCAGGGUGCAGUUUCCCCGGCGUCGAGUGCCACGACCGGUUCGGGGGCGGACAGGAGCCCGGCGGCAAGGUGGCUCGCGCCCGUCAGACGGCGCGAGUGUUACAGGCCGCCGCGGUGGUCGCGUCUCCGGACCGAGGGACGACGUUCGCGUCCGCCGGCCUCGGGCCGUCUCGAAGCGUUCGACCGUGGACGCACUGUUCCGCAGUGCGCCGCAACCGCGCUUCGACGACCGGUCCCGUACGCCGCGGUCGCUCUCGGUCUCGUGGCGAAUCGGUCGGUCCUCCACCCGACCCGUCUUGAAACACGGACCAAGGAGUCCAACAUGUGCGCGAGUCAUGGGGUCUCCCG
RNAcentral lists this ribosomal RNA (588 nucleotides) under Coecella chinensis. RNAcentral describes it as "partial 28S ribosomal RNA". It matches the Rfam family "Eukaryotic large subunit ribosomal RNA", at positions 286 to 705 of the family's 3401-position model. The record is from RNAcentral. Lineage: Eukaryota; Metazoa; Mollusca; Bivalvia; Venerida; Mesodesmatidae.